CGGAGGGAUCAUUACUGAGUUUACGCUCUAUAACCCUUUGUGAACAUACCUAUAACUGUUGCUUCGGCGGGUAGGGUCUCCGCGACCCUCCCGGCCUCCCGCCUCCGGGCGGGUCGGCGCCCGCCGGAGGAUAACCAAACUCUGAUUUAACGACGUUUCUUCUGAGUGGUACAAGCAAAUAAUCAAAACUUUUAACAACGGAUCUCUUGGUUCUGGCAUCGAUGAAGAACGCAGCGAAAUGCGAUAAGUAAUGUGAAUUGCAGAAUUCAGUGAAUCAUCGAAUCUUUGAACGCACAUUGCGCCCGCCAGCAUUCUGGCGGGCAUGCCUGUUCGAGCGUCAUUUCAACCCUCAAGCUCUGCUUGGUGUUGGGGCCCUACAGCUGAUGUAGGCCCUCAAAGGUAGUGGCGGACCCUCCCGGAGCCUCCUUUGCGUAGUAACUUUACGUCUCGCACUGGGAUCCGGAGGGACUCUUGCCGUAAAACCCCCCAAUUUUCCAAAGGUUGACCUCGGAUCAGGUAGGAAUACCCGCUGAACUUAAGCAUAUCAAUAAGCGGAGGAAAAGAAACCAACAGGGAUUGCCUCAGUAACGGCGAGUGAAGCGGCAACAGCUCAAAUUUGAAAUCUGGCCCUAGGCCCGAGUUGUAAUU
Molecule: ribosomal RNA, 648 nt
Filed under: fungal endophyte
Lineage: Eukaryota; Fungi
Description: eukaryotic LSU rRNA
Rfam family: 5.8S ribosomal RNA (bases 187-340)
Source: RNAcentral